AACGAACGCUGGCGGCAUGCCUAACACAUGCAAGUCGAACGAGACCUUCGGGUCUAGUGGCGCACGGGUGCGUAACGCGUGGGAACCUGCCCUUAGGUUCGGAAUAACUCACCGAAAGGGGUGCUAAUACCGGAUAAUGUCUUAGGACCAAAGAUUUAUCGCCUUUGGAUGGGCCCGCGUUGGAUUAGCUAGUUGGCAGGGUAAAAGCCUACCAAGGCGACGAUCCAUAGCUGGUCUGAGAGGAUGAGCAGCCACACUGGGACUGAGACACGGCCCAGACUCCUACGGGAGGCAGCAGUGUGGAAUAUUGGACAACGGGCUAAGUCCUGAUCCAGCAAUGCCGCGUGAGUGAUGAAGUCCUUAGGGUUGUAAAGCUCUUUUACCCGGGAUGAUAAUGACAGUACCGGGAGAAUAAGCUCCGGCUAACUCCGUG
Molecule: ribosomal RNA, 433 nt
Filed under: uncultured bacterium
Lineage: Bacteria
Description: partial 16S ribosomal RNA
Rfam family: Bacterial small subunit ribosomal RNA
Source: RNAcentral